RNAcentral lists this ribosomal RNA (402 nucleotides) under Limosilactobacillus reuteri. Its description in RNAcentral is "bacterial SSU rRNA". It matches the Rfam family "Bacterial small subunit ribosomal RNA", at positions 65 to 444 of the family's 1533-position model. The record is from RNAcentral. Lineage: Bacteria; Bacillati; Bacillota; Bacilli; Lactobacillales; Lactobacillaceae.
ACUGAUUGAUGGUGCUUGCACCUGAUUGACGAUGGAUCACCAGUGAGUGGCGGACGGGUGAGUAACACGUAGGUAACCUGCCCCGGAGCGGGGGAUAACAUUUGGAAACAGAUGCUAAUACCGCAUAACAACAAAAGCCACAUGGCUUUUGUUUGAAAGAUGGCUUUGGCUAUCACUCUGGGAUGGACCUGCGGUGCAUUAGCUAGUUGGUAAGGUAACGGCUUACCAAGGCGAUGAUGCAUAGCCGAGUUGAGAGACUGAUCGGCCACAAUGGAACUGAGACACGGUCCAUACUCCUACGGGAGGCAGCAGUAGGGAAUCUUCCACAAUGGGCGCAAGCCUGAUGGAGCAACACCGCGUGAGUGAAGAAGGGUUUCGGCUCGUAAAGCUCUGUUGUUGGAG